This 71-nucleotide transfer RNA is filed under the name Loxodonta africana (African savanna elephant). It matches the Rfam family "tRNA". Rfam says of the family: Transfer RNA (tRNA) molecules are approximately 80 nucleotides in length. Their secondary structure includes four short double-helical elements and three loops (D, anti-codon, and T loops). The record is from Rfam by way of RNAcentral. Lineage: Eukaryota; Metazoa; Chordata; Mammalia; Proboscidea; Elephantidae.
GCAUUGAUAGUUCAGUGGUAGAAUUCCUGCCUUCCAUGUGGGGGACCUGGAUUCCAUUCCCAGCCAAUGCC